GUGUGUUUAUUCAUGGUUCCCUCAUCCCAGGGCCUGAGAGGGAAGCAGCAGUAGUAGAACCAUCUCAAGCUAGGACAAGUGGAAGAGCAGACCCGUCAAGAGGGGUGGAGGCCUGGUGCUUCUCUGAUGGGGUAAACUUGGGAAGCAGGAUCUGGAGGCAGCCAAGCAGAUUUUGUGGAUGGAAGGAGGGGAGUGUUUCAGGACAUGACAGAAUUGUGAAAGAGAGGACUGGUGUAUGGAGUGGACUGGAGAGAAAGAAGUACAGUGGCUUUCUGUUGCACAGCUUGGGGG
RNAcentral lists this long non-coding RNA (291 nucleotides) under Fukomys damarensis (Damara mole-rat). RNAcentral's name for it is "lncRNA (ENSFDAG00000033169.1)". The record is from RNAcentral. Lineage: Eukaryota; Metazoa; Chordata; Mammalia; Rodentia; Bathyergidae.